Molecule: non-coding RNA, 81 nt
Organism: Micrococcales bacterium 73-15
Lineage: Bacteria; Bacillati; Actinomycetota; Actinomycetes; Micrococcales
Source: Rfam
GUCGGUCCUCGGUAGUGGCUCCCGGGCCUGGACGUCGACCUCGGUCGCGCACCAGGGCGUGGGCCUCGAUCGAAGACCUCC